GAUGAACGCUGGCGGCGUGCCUAAUACAUGCAAGUCGAACGAGGCCCUUUGUAUUCGUACGAAGGUGUCCUAGUGGCGAACGGGUGAGUAACACGUUGGUGACCUGCCCCAAAGUGGGGGACAACUCCGGGAAACUGGAGCUAAUACCCCAUGUGUUCCGAGGAGUUAGAGGUCCUUGGAAGAAAGGAGCAAUCCGCUUUGGGAGGGCCUGCGGCCCAUCAGCUAGUUGGUAGGGUAACGGCCUACCAAGGCUACGACGGGUAGGGGACCUGAGAGGGUGGCCCCCCACACUGGCACUGAAACACGGGCCAGACACCUACGGGUGGCAGCAGUGGGGAAUAUUGCCCAAUGGACGAAAGUCUGAGGCAGCAACGCCGCGUGCGCGAUGAAGGCCUUCGGGUUGUAAAGCGCUUUUCUGGGGGAAGAGAAAGGACGGUACCCCAGGAAUAAGUCUCGGCUAACUACGUG
RNAcentral lists this ribosomal RNA (468 nucleotides) under uncultured bacterium. RNAcentral's name for it is "bacterial SSU rRNA". It matches the Rfam family "Bacterial small subunit ribosomal RNA", at positions 28 to 507 of the family's 1533-position model. The record is from RNAcentral.